Molecule: long non-coding RNA, 624 nt
Filed under: Salvator merianae (Argentine black and white tegu)
Lineage: Eukaryota; Metazoa; Chordata; Lepidosauria; Squamata; Teiidae
Description: lncRNA (ENSSMRG00000020685.1)
Source: RNAcentral
AGCAGGCGCAAGUGUUUGACUUGGUGAUCUGUCAGCAGAAUGUGUCCGUCCAGCCUGUGCUCCUGCUUCAAUUGAUUGGCCAAUAACGGCAGCACUCAUGUGAUUGAUUGGUGAAAUGGCUAAUUGCGGGGCUGGCAGGCAAGACUGGAUGGGCAAUGACAGCAGCAGAGUGGAGCGGGACGAGGAGAGAAAUCUUGAAAACACAGAGGAUAAGUGCAACUGAUUGCAAAAAUGGCAGUGCUAGUGUGAGCUGACUCAUAACACAUUUGGCAUACCAUUUUAAUGUCAGCUGCAGAAGCAGAAAAUAUCCACUGCGGAAGUGAUCGUUUAAAGAUCUAUAGAACGCACAAAAGAGUACUACAAGUAAAAAGGCAAAAGCCUGCCUUAAGGAAGUUGAAGUUGGAGAAAUAGUUGUUGUUGGCAUCAUCUGUCUCAAAAGACAAUGGAAAGAGCCUGGGAUCUGUCUUUCUUCUACCAUGGGACCUAAGAAGGAAUGUGCAUAGUUUUUAGCAGAUCUUCCAUCUCUACAUUAGAGAUGUGCACAAAUUAAAGUUGCAUGUUUUGUUCUCGAUUGAAUUGAAGACCCAUUUUUUCGUUUUGGCAAUAAACUGUUUAAUCAAACGA